GGAGAUUUUUUGUCAAUCACAUAGUUUAAACUUUGAUAAACAAACUGAAAUGUGUUCCAAAAUCAGAAGAAAGAAUAUAAAUUUCCUUUCAGUUGUAACAUGGCAUACUAUACAUCUCCAAUAAUUCAAUUUCAAAACUGAACGAAAGGAAAAUCACUCCCCUUAAUGGUGUUUCCACGUUUUUCUUCCUAUGCUAUGGUCAAGAAAUUAAGCUAAACAAUUUAAAGCUCAUCAUGUGAAUCAUCAUCAUCAUCUUCUCCACCUGAAGGGCCUCCUGGGGCUCCACCAGACCUCUGAUAAACAGCAGUUAUGAUGGGGUUGCAUACAGCCUCUACCUCCUUCAGCUUCUCCUCAUAGUCCUCCUUCUCAGCCUUCUGAUUGUCGUCUAGCCACUCAAGGGCUUCAUUAACUGCUGUCUCAAUCUUUUCCUUCUCAUCAGAUUCUAAUUUGUCAGCCAACUUGUCCUUAUCGUUGAUCUGGUUCUUCAUGUUGUAAACAUAUGUCUCUAAGCUGUUACGGGCAUCAAUCUUCUCCUUGACUUUCUUGUCUUCCUCUGCAAACUCCUCAGCCUCCCGGACCAUCCUGUCAAUCUCCUCCUGACUCAGCCUACCCUUGUCAUUUGUAAUGGUGAUUUUCUCAGAUUUCCCUGAGGCCUUGUCCUCAGCCUUAACAUUUAGGAUACCAUUGGCAUCA
Molecule: unclassified non-coding RNA, 693 nt
Filed under: Hevea brasiliensis (rubber tree)
Lineage: Eukaryota; Viridiplantae; Streptophyta; Magnoliopsida; Malpighiales; Euphorbiaceae
Source: RNAcentral